UAAAAACUCUAAGAUUCAGGUUGGAAAUGGGGGAGUCACUUCUCCAACUAUACAGUUGGCUAGUGAAGGAAAUCCUUCCCCCCCUUGAUCGGGACGCCGGUCGAGGUAACUUCCCUGGGAUUGAAAGCCCUUACCUGGCGGGGUAAGUGAAUAUUGUUUAUGCUUUAAGUUUGUAAACGCGUGUGUGCUUGUGGUUGUCUGUGAAUCGCUUGUGGUUGUAAUAAUGUACUACUCUUGCCUUAAAAAAUUGCAAUAGUGCAUUCCUCCAUUGUAUCUGUAAAACCUGCAAUAGUACUGUGUUAAGUCUGUAAGUGAAGUUCAGAUAAAUCAUUUGUUUGAACCUUGCAGUUAAGUCUGCGAGUGAAGUUCAAGUCGUUUGCUUGAACCUUGCAGUUAAGUCCUUUUCCAUCACAUUAAAGGUUCAGUAGACCUUGGAAGAAAAUUUGGCAGUGUUGGACAGAACAAGAUGGUGGGUCCUGAUUUAGGUUUGAAAGAAGCUUGCAAGCAAACCUCCUGUGAUGUAAACACUGUUUCCUUGGUUCUGGCAUCUUUUUUUUUCUUCUUCUCUUUUUUUUCCUUUGUCUGAUUAAUUUGAAGUUACUGGGGUGAACUUCAAAAGAUGGGUGUGCUGGUUGUUUUCUAGGCAUCAGUAACAAAAGUGAAAUUACUUCAUCAAGACAGUGGAGCUGGGCGUCUGAGGUAACGUGUUCACUGGGUAAGCAAUGAGUGCUUUUGGGUGGAGUAGUUACCUGCAGGGAGACACUUCCCUGUAAAACCCUGUAGCUUACCGAAUCCAGUUAUCGUGCCUCAGUAUUGCAGUGGAGACAAAGCGGAGGUAUUGACCUCAGCCAGCAGCUUCAGACAGAAAUGGUACUUGCGCAGGGCUGAGGCGCCAGCAGCAGAGACCUGGUGCCGAUACUGGCCUCCAGUGUUUCUGCUGAGGCAAAAGCCUCGCGUGACCCGUCUCUGCGAGGGUUUGACGAAAUAGCAGCUGCGUGAGUCGCCUUGCUGUGGAACGGUUUGAUGACGGUGGUGGAGGCAGAGUUGCAGAAAGGAUGGGGUGUCUAGCCAGGCUGGUUAACUCUUUGUAGGUGGCAGUGUGGCCCAGGCCCGGUGAGCCCAGAGCAGCUGCUCCAGCUACGUCGGUUCCUACGUGCUCGUGUUGAUGGACAGCUGUUCCCCCAGUAGCUCCUGGGUAUUUUGGAGACCUUUGGGUAAGCCCACGAAGCGCUUCGUGAGGUAAGAGUGAAUAAUUUUGAGGUGCCAGAGAGCUAGAAGCAACUAAACAUUUCAAACAGCCUGAAAACGGUGGCAGUUGGCUAGCUGUUGGGGCUGGCUCUGUAGCUUACCUGUAUUUGCAAUCGCCUGAUUACUGCCACUUGAAAGCCAAAAAGAUUCAGGAGGUGGAGAACCAUAUCUUUAAGUUCACGGAAGUGUUUCAUUUUUAAAAGGCUACAGUUUAUUAUUUCUUUUGAUUCCUGUGAGUAGGACCAGUUCCAACAGCUCUGGAAGCAGCUAUGCAGGACAGUGAUCGCCGCUUUUCAGUGGGAAUAUAGAGCUCCUCCUGUCUGCACCUGUUUGUACAGGGGUUGGACAACCUAUUUUCAGCAAGGUCUGGACCCUCAGGCUGUCUUACGCAGGUCUUCGUUGCAACGGAGAAAAAUACCAUGCUAAUUGAAGACAUAUUGCUUCCUCUGGACAAAAAGGGAGAGUCCCUACUUGGCAAAACGAGGAGACAUUAUGGCAAAAUGGAAAGCUGACAGUGUUUUGACAGGAAUCUAAGCAUCAAGUGGCCAUGAAGAGUGUGUCUGAGAAGUAGCCACCGUUUAACCCUACUGAAGCACAGCAGUAGGACCAUGGAAGGAAACCUACACUGCUUUUUUCCUGUGCCGACGUUUCUCUUUGGAUGAAAUAGAGAAUUUUAACCUCUGAGUAGAAAAUGUUGUAUUUUCAUGCCAGUGCAAUGACUUAUGAUAAUUUUAAUGUGUAAAGUUGAAAUAGUUUCUCCGUGAAAUGUUUGCAGUCACUGUCUUGUGAUGCUACUUACUGUUCUGGGUGCUGUGUUGAUAAAUAGUGUUGGCUGGACAGUAACUGCUUUCCUUAGAAAAACUUGAAUUUAGUUUUCAUUUAGAUUUGGAGUAAAAGGAAAUGACUUUUUUCCCCCACCUUCAUUAAUUGGGAAAGAAUGCAAUAACUGUGUCCCAGAACAGCAAGCUGAGUCAUGAGCAAAGCACUCACCUGAAUGGAGAACGGGGUGAAAGGAUGGGGUCAUGGUGCUGCUCAGGAAUGGUUCUUGCCUGUGUCUCUUUCAGACCACCCCAAACCUAAAUUAUCUUCCUGCGAAUACAAGCAUCAGACUGUCAGUGUUUCUGUAGAACUGACUUUUGACCAAGCCUUCAAUUUUUCAGUGGGAAAAAUAUUUUGUUGAAGGAGGUUUUGACCACUUCUAAUGAAAGCAGUCAUUAUUUUUACAGUUUUACAUUAAAACUUAAGGGCAAGACAAAUCUUAGGAGCUAGGCAUCUGCUCUGAAAAUCUACAGAUAAUAAACCAGUGAUGAGUCUAUGAAUCAGCAGGACUGCAGGGCUCUACUUCCUGGGAUUCAUCCGAAAGCUGUCUCCAACAUUUGUAGAGUUACAGAUUUGAAAAACUGUGUGAGAAUACAAUCUCUUUCUAUAUGUGGAAGGACUACCAAGGA
Molecule: long non-coding RNA, 2696 nt
Organism: Harpia harpyja (harpy eagle)
Lineage: Eukaryota; Metazoa; Chordata; Aves; Accipitriformes; Accipitridae
Exons: 4
Source: RefSeq, a predicted model, not a curated record